UCCCUGGUAGCUCAGUGGGUUGAGUAUCCAGCAUUGUCACUGCUGUGGUGCAGGUUUGAUUCCUGGCUACAGAA
This 74-nucleotide transfer RNA is filed under the name Sus scrofa (pig). It matches the Rfam family "tRNA". Rfam says of the family: Transfer RNA (tRNA) molecules are approximately 80 nucleotides in length. Their secondary structure includes four short double-helical elements and three loops (D, anti-codon, and T loops). Lineage: Eukaryota; Metazoa; Chordata; Mammalia; Artiodactyla; Suidae. The record is from Rfam by way of RNAcentral.